CAAAUUAUAGCUUAAUAAGUAUUUCAUUUACAUUGAAAAGAUAAUGUAAUUACAUUUAAUUUGA
Molecule: transfer RNA, 64 nt
Filed under: Corythoxestis sunosei
Lineage: Eukaryota; Metazoa; Arthropoda; Insecta; Lepidoptera; Gracillariidae
Description: tRNA-Val
Source: RNAcentral